RNAcentral lists this long non-coding RNA (792 nucleotides) under Zostera marina. RNAcentral's name for it is "long non-coding RNA (ZMAR_LNC003688)". Lineage: Eukaryota; Viridiplantae; Streptophyta; Magnoliopsida; Alismatales; Zosteraceae. The record is from RNAcentral.
GUCGUUCUUGUGAUACUCUUGGACCGCUGAAGUAGGUCGGCAGUACCCCCCGUGACUGGUGAAUGGUGAUUCUCUUGGAUUACCGUGGUGGGUCGGUGGUAUCAUCGGUACUCCUCUCUCAAAACCAAUAAAUACAAGGGCAAUUUCGCUUUUUUACAAAUAUUCCCUUGCACUUCUCGAGGAAUUGAGAUGGGAGUUAGUGCAUCAACAGGUUGCGUGGUCCGAUCGAGUAUCUGCUUCUUCAAAAGGGCAAGUUGAGGGCUCUUACUGCUAUCGAAAGCCAUAGGUUAAACUCGUUGCUGAUCGCGGUGUAUCGGCGCUUGGAUGUCCUACGUCAGGCGGGGAUGAAUGUUGUCAUUAUGGAGCCCAUCGUUCGAGCCCUCGCAUCUAGCCCAUUUAUUCCUUCCACCGGGCGUCGUCGACAUCGGGCUCCACGUCCACGCGCAUUGUCUGAAUUACAUGUUAUCGUUGCUCCCGAUGGGGAACCCCACGAGCCAUUUAGAUCUUCUUUGAUGUGUAUGUGCUCCUUUUAUAAUGCUACUUCUGUCUGUAAUAUUGUAUGUACUCCUUAUAAUGCUACUUUUGUCUGUGAUAUUUGUUUUGAACUCGCCUCCUGGUGUAAUAGUCUGUUUUCUUAUGCAACUUCGUAAUUCACUUCUGUCUGAUCACACGCGUAGGGUGUGUCUUUUCGUGGGUCAGAUGGCCCUAGCACACAACUCAAGAAAAUUGAGGAGGCCUUGUGAACCCAACCUGAGAACCUACACGAUCGUCAUAAGAAUACUCUGCGGCGAG